Molecule: transfer RNA, 73 nt
Filed under: Bacteroidota bacterium
Lineage: Bacteria; Pseudomonadati; Bacteroidota
Also listed under: 11 other names
Description: Bacteroidetes bacterium tRNA-Thr
Rfam family: tRNA
About the family: Transfer RNA (tRNA) molecules are approximately 80 nucleotides in length. Their secondary structure includes four short double-helical elements and three loops (D, anti-codon, and T loops).
Source: RNAcentral
GCUGGCGUAGCUCAGUUGGUAGAGCAGCUGACUUGUAAUCAGCAGGUCGGGGGUUCAAAUCCCUUCGCCAGCU